RNAcentral lists this ribosomal RNA (458 nucleotides) under uncultured bacterium. RNAcentral describes it as "partial 16S ribosomal RNA". It matches the Rfam family "Bacterial small subunit ribosomal RNA", at positions 338 to 795 of the family's 1533-position model. The record is from RNAcentral.
CCUACGGGGGGCUGCAGUGAGGAAUAUUGGUCAAUGGGCGAGAGCCUGAACCAGCCAAGUCGCGUGAGGGAGUACUGCCCUAUGGGUUGUAAACCUCUUUUGUCGGGGAGCAAAAGCCGGACGUGUCCGGCUGUGAGAGUACCCGAAGAAAAAGCAUCGGCUAACUCCGUGCCAGCAGCCGCGGUAAUACGGGGGAUGCGAGCGUUAUCCGGAUUUAUUGGGUUUAAAGGGGGCGCAGGCGGAUUUUUAAGUCAGCGGUAAAAUCGUGGGGCUCAACCCCAUCCAGCCGUUGAAACUGGGGAUCUAGAGUGUGCGAGAGGUAUGCGGAAUGCGUGGUGUAGCGGUGAAAUGCAUAGAUAUCACGCAGAACCCCGAUUGCGAAGGCAGCAUACCGGUGCACAACUGACGCUCAGGCACGAAAGCGUGGGUAUCGAACAGGAUUAGAUACCCUUGUAGUC